Small nucleolar RNA from Plasmodium relictum, 84 nucleotides. RefSeq annotates it as small nucleolar RNA snoR18. The record is from RefSeq and is a predicted model, not a curated record. Lineage: Eukaryota; Apicomplexa; Aconoidasida; Haemosporida; Plasmodiidae. The transcript has a single exon.
UAUAAAUCAUAUGAUGAAUACAAUGAUAGGACUGAAAUAAAUGUUGAAAAAAUUUACAAGCCGAUAAUAAUAAAAACACUGAUC